Molecule: long non-coding RNA, 1653 nt
Organism: Callithrix jacchus (white-tufted-ear marmoset)
Lineage: Eukaryota; Metazoa; Chordata; Mammalia; Primates; Cebidae
Source: Ensembl
GCUGAACUCAUUUACAUUUUCACUGAAAGUUCAUAAAUGUGCCUUUUUCUCCACAACCUCAGGAGCAUCUGCUGUGUUUGGACUUUUUCACAGUAGCCAUUCCAGCUAGUGUGAGAUGGUAUCUCAUUGUGGUUUUGAGUUGCAAUUCUCUGAUGAAGAGGGAUGUGGAGCAUUUUUUCAUAUGUUCGUUGGUCACUUCUAUGUCUUCUUCUGAGAAGUGUUUGUUCAUGCCUUUGCCAACUCUAUAAUAGAGUUAGCUUGUUCUUAUUUUUCCAGUUCUUCUAGAUGUGACAUCAGAUAGUUAAUUUGAGAUCUUUCUAACUUUGGAGGUAGGCUUCUCGACAUUUCCUCUUAACACUCUUUUUUGCUGCAUCUCAGAGAGUGUGGUAUGUUGUGUCUCUCCUUUCAUUUAUUUCAAAUAAUAUUUUGAUUUUGCCCUUAAAUUGAUUGUCUACCACCAAAUCUUUCUGGGGAAAGUUGUUUAAAUUGGGUGUAGUUUUGUGGUUUUGAGAGAUCUUUUUGAUGUGCUACUGGAUUCAUUUCUAUUGCUGCUGGGAUUAACUUCCAUUUUUAUUCCACUGUACUCUGAGAGUAUGGCUGGUAUGAUUUUGAUUUUUUAAAAUAACUUAAAUUUUUUUUAAUCUAUUAAAUCACCAAGUCCUGGAACAGGUUGUGUUAGCCCUUGAGGCAUUCAUCCAGCACUGUUUCAGAGAAAUCUCCAUUUCACUCUAUUCCUAUAUAUUAGUUAUUAAAAAAUACAUAAACCAGACUACUGCAAAAACAAGUUGACCUCUUUGUGUUCCUUGAACACAGUAGUGAAGGACCCCCCUGACUGGGCCUCAUGCCAAACAACUCAUUACAAAAAGAGCUAGAGACUCAGACUACGGGAAAGCAUCACAAGUCCUCUCCUUGUCUGUACACGGAUGGCUGGCCGAUUCUGGAGCCCAGGCUGUCGCUUCCCGCUGUGGUGAUGAAUCAGUCCUUCAUAGUCCGUUCCCACAGACUCUGCCAUGAUUCCUCACACAAAUAUGGAUACAGGGGAAGACAGAAGUCCUGGAAGGCAAUCUACCCAGCUCUUCCCUUCAUAUCCAGGAGGACUACCUGCACCAUCUCUUUCUGGAUGAUAGCCACUGUCUGCAGAUACAACCACUGCUGGUAUUUCAGCAGCAGAUGCUGUGAUUCCAUUUCACCAGAACGGCAUUGGCUAGUCUUUGUCAACUUGCCUGCUUGUUGGGAGGACAUAAAAACACUUCAGAAACAUACUGGAAAUCUUCAUGAGUAGGCAGAUGGAGUCUCACUCUGUUGCCCAGGUUGGAAUACAGUGGCCCAGUCUUGCCUCACUGCAACCUCCGUCUCCAAGGUUCAAGUGAUUUUCCUGCCUCAGCCUCCCAAGUAGCUGGAACUACAAACAUGGACCACCACAACCAGCUAAUUUUUGAAUUUUUAGUAGAGACAGGGUUUUUCCAUGUUGGCCAGGCUGGUCUUGAACUUCUGAUCUCAAGUGAUUUGUCCACCACCUACCUUGGCCUUUCAAAGUGGUGGAAUUACAGGCAUGAGCCACGAUGACUGGCUGGUAAUGCUCUUAAAGGAAAUAUAUAUAGAGAAUACUUGCCAUGUAUGACCUAAAUAGCUACUAUAUACAUAUUAUUCCCA